AUAGUACGUACACCUUCCCUUACCUUACUAACUAUUAAAGAAUAAGACUUCCAUCUCCAAUGUUUCUUGGUAGAUAUCGUCUCCCUCGCAAAACCUAUGUCUCUUUUUCCAGUGAUGUUCCGGUCACUGGCGAGGCUUCUUACAUCGUUAAUAAUUGAGCCUGCGGCUUCUGUCUCCACCGUACUAUUUUACAGUGAACUUCUGCCUCAGAAUAUCAUUUUGGAAAGACUAGUUCGACAUGAUUUGCUUUACAGUGAAAAUUAUCUGUUUCGUUUCCUCGUUAACUUCUUGAGAUGCUUCUGGUAGAUGAAUAUCAUUAUCUUCAUAUUGAUUGUAGCUCAAAUGCUUCUGCUACACUAAUGCUAUUGAAGCUUCAACCAA
Hevea brasiliensis (rubber tree) is the source of this 381-nucleotide long non-coding RNA. RefSeq lists it as uncharacterized. The record is from RefSeq and is a predicted model, not a curated record. Lineage: Eukaryota; Viridiplantae; Streptophyta; Magnoliopsida; Malpighiales; Euphorbiaceae. The transcript is spliced from 2 exons.